GGCAGUUCUCAAGAGAUGCACCCCGGAAUCAGGCUCCCUCCUCUCUGGUUCUGGGUGUGUCACCCAAGAACCGCU
Molecule: non-coding RNA, 75 nt
Organism: Myotis lucifugus (little brown bat)
Lineage: Eukaryota; Metazoa; Chordata; Mammalia; Chiroptera; Vespertilionidae
Source: Rfam